UGAACGCUAGCGGCAGGCCUAACACAUGCAAGUCGAGGGGUAACAGGUUUAGUUUACUAAAUGCUGACGACCGGCGCACGGGUGCGUAACGCGUAUGCAACCUACCUAUAACAAGGGGAUAGCUUAGAGAAAUUUGAAUUAAUACCCUAUGAUGUAAUUGACUGGCAUCGGUUGAUUAUUAAAGAUUUGUUUUGGUUAUAGAUGGGCAUGCGUAGCAUUAGCUAGAUGGUGAGGUAACGGCUUACCACGGCGACGAUGCUUAGGGGUUCUGAGAGGAAGGUCCCCCACACUGGUACUGAGACACGGACCAGACUCCUACGGGAGGCAGCAGUGAGGAAUAUUGGUCAAUGGACGGAAGUCUGAACCAGCCAUGCCGCGUGCAGGAAGACGGCCCUAUGGGUUGUAAACUGCUUUUAUAUAGGAAGAAAUGUUGUCUUGCGAGAUGAUUUGACGGUACUAUAUGAAUAAGCACCGGCUAACUCCGUGCCAGCAGCCGCGGUAAU
Molecule: ribosomal RNA, 503 nt
Filed under: uncultured bacterium
Lineage: Bacteria
Description: bacterial SSU rRNA
Rfam family: Bacterial small subunit ribosomal RNA
Source: RNAcentral